This 72-nucleotide transfer RNA is filed under the name Candidatus Levybacteria bacterium RIFCSPHIGHO2_01_FULL_40_58. RNAcentral's name for it is "tRNA-Met". It matches the Rfam family "tRNA". Rfam says of the family: Transfer RNA (tRNA) molecules are approximately 80 nucleotides in length. Their secondary structure includes four short double-helical elements and three loops (D, anti-codon, and T loops). Lineage: Bacteria; Candidatus Levyibacteriota. The record is from RNAcentral. RNAcentral also lists the same sequence under 6 other names.
GGCUGGGUAGCUCAAUGGUGGAGCGGUCGUUUCAUAAGCGACAGGUUGUCGGUUCGAUCCCGACCCCAGCUA